This 8827-nucleotide long non-coding RNA is filed under the name Sus scrofa (pig). Its description in RNAcentral is "lncRNA (ENSSSCG00005001502.1)". Lineage: Eukaryota; Metazoa; Chordata; Mammalia; Artiodactyla; Suidae. The record is from RNAcentral.
GCCAUGGUAGCUCUUUGUCCUCCCGAUUGAGUCGCAGUGGCGUACUGGUCCUUUUAGCACUGGCGGAGAGUAGAUUUAGUAAGUGCUGCUCCCCAGAGAUCUUAAGGCCACGUGAUUUGGUGUGGACCUGGGAGUUUGGGGUGCAGAGGCUAGGUGGGCCCUGUGCCCUGCGAUGUGCGUUUGUUAGGGUGAAGGGGCAACCCACUGUGCUGAUUUAGGAAUCGGGAGAGACGAUGGAGGGGGUGGGACUGGGAGUUUGAAAAUGGAGUUCUGUGGGGUUGGUGAGGUCUUUGUAAUAAUCCAUUUAUCAUAACCAUGAGGAAGGCAGUGGAUUUGCAUGAGGGCACUGGUUCCUUCUUUCCCUUUUGCUGAAAUGACAGAUCAGCAUCCUUCCGAAAGCCCCCUGAGCCCUUAUUUCUGGGUUCUUCCUUUUUGUAACUGCAGACCUGGUCUUGCCAGAUUGGUGGCCCGGUGACUGUCAUCGUCCUGUUUCCUCUAGUGUCUGAGGCUUGGAGAAUAAGUGGUGUGUGGGUUCUGGGGCUGGGUGUGGGCUCUGGGGCUCUGUUGGAGAGCAUUUAAAUCAGCCCAGCCCUUUGAGUCCUCUGCUUACCCCCCUCCCUCGCCUCAGUCUACUUGGAUUUGUCUGUUGUCCUCAAAGAGAAGGUGGCUUGGGGGGUUAGUUGUUGGUGACCUGCCUGUGAUGGUGUGGUAGCGGGGAGAAAGGGCACGGCACCACCUGGCCUGGUUCUUCACCGCUCACCCUCCAUUUCCUCAGUCAUGUGGGGGCGACAGUGAGGACAGCCACCUCAGUGGUUGCUGGCAGGACCCUCUGCGCACUUGUAGUUAAUAUUCUCCCAGCCUGAUGGAGCAGUCCUUCGCUCCUAUUAAUGGUCGCUUGCUAAGAAGUCUCCUGGAUGGGAGGGCUGCCCCCGGGGGAGGAGGGGGAGGGGGAGGGUUGUUGUUGUUGUGAGUGCGCUGUGUUCUGCCUCCUUGUGGGCAGUGGCUGUGCAGGCCCCCACCUCCUGUAUGAUGUGUCUGGUUUGAGGUCUGCGCUCCGCAGCUCUGCUGGUUUCUCUGGACAGGCACGGCCACAGUUGUCAUCUCCUUCUUCACCUUUCUGUCUGCUUUUCAGCUCUUUGGGCACAGACUAGACAUGUGCUUCAUAGGAGUUCCCCUCGUGGCUCAGUGAGUUAAGAACCCAACAUAGUGUCUGAGAUUAUGUGGGUUUGACCCCUGGCCUUGCUCAGUGGGCUAAGGCCACAAGCUGCUGUGUAGGUUGCAGAUAUGGCUUGAAUCUGAUGUUGCCAUGACUGUGGUGUAGGCCAGCAGCUGCAGCUCUGAUGUGACCCCCAACCUGGGAACUUCCAUAUGCUGUAGGUGUGGCUGUAAAAAGAAAAACAAUUAUUUACAGGAACAUUGGCCCAAGCAUGAAGUUACUUGUAAUGGGACAUUGGUGGUUGCAUGGGUUAUCAUAGCAUACAGUUGGAAAUGGUUUACAUGUCUGCCCGUGGUGCACGGGUAAAUAAAAUGCAGCACAACUACACAGCGAAAUACUAGGUAGGCAUUAAAAAGAGUCUCAGAUUGGGAUGUGUUUUCUUGAAAAAAUGACCAUCGUGUAUUAAUAAAAGAAAGCAGGUUCCCAGGCUAGGGGUCCAAUUGGAGCUACAGCUGCCAGCCUACACCACAGCCACAGCAACGCCAGAUCCAAGCUGCGUCUGUGAUCUACACCACGGCUCACAGCAACGCUGGAUCCUUAACCCAUAGUGCAAGGCCAGGGCUUGAACCUGCAGCCUCACGGGUACUAGUCAGAUUCGUGUCCAUGGAUCCCCGAUGGGAACUCCUGGACCCUGUGUUAAGAGCAGAGUUCCUCACCUGAUGCAGUGUCCACUCCAACCCCACCCCUCUCCAGGCCAGACUUGCCUGCCCAUUCCCACCGCCCCGGGAGUAUGGCCAGGGCCUGGGAGCUGUGUGGGUGUUUGAUUCUGGGCCCCAGGGCUUCUUGGCCAGCAUGGACCUCAGUCGCUAUAGCAAGUGUUUCUCUGUCCACUGACUGCCCACACUUCCAGAGCAGAUCUGGCUGUCAAACUGACCUGGGUUCAAGUUCAGGUUUUGCAGUACCCUAACUUGAAGAUGGUGGCCUUUUGCCAGUCACUUAACUUCACUGAGCCUUGGUGUCUUGUCUGUAAUGAGGGUGCAAAUACCUUUCUCUUAGUGGUUUAUCUAUUGUAUGUCUUGUUUCAAAGAACCUUUUUUUUUUUUUUUUUUUGUCUUUUUGCUAUUUCUUGGGCCGCUCCCGUGGCAUAUGGAGGUUCCCAGGCUAGGGGUCCAAUCGGAGCGGCAGCCACUGGCCUACGCCAGAGCCACAGCAACGUGGGAUCCGAGCCGCGUCUGCAACCUACACCACAGCUCAUGGCAAUGCCGGAUCGUUAACCCACUGAGCAAGGGCAGGGAUCGAACCCGCAACCUCAUGGUUCCUAGUCGGAUUCGUUAACCACUGCGCCACGACGGGAACUCCCAAAGAACCAUUUUAAAAUUCAAAAGUAAAAAAAUAAAAUUCAGCUUUACUCAAGUGUAUUCCUUAAAUUUCUUUUGGCUUUUUCUUCAUUAAUUGUUUCUGUUUUCCUUCACAUUCAGUUGUGUCUUUUUCCUGAUUUCUUGUAUCAAAUGCUUAACUUAAUUUCUUCCUUUUCUGUUAGGAAUCUUAAGGUUUUAGAUGAUUAAAUUUCCUCUAAGUACAGAUUUGUCUUUGUUUAAAAAGCUUGAUGUGUAAUGUUCCUUUCUCCAUCUGUGCUAUUUUCUAGGUAUUCAAUAGCUGUGGUGUUUUUUUUUUUUUUUUUGCCUUUUCUGCGGUGACUCCCGCAGCAUUUGGAGAUUCCCAGGCUAGGGGUUGAAUCAGAGCUGUAGCCGCCGGCCUACACCAGAGCCACAGCAACGAGGGAGCCGAGCCAUGUCUGCAACCUACACCUCAGCUCACGGCAACGCCGGAUCCUUAACCCACUGAGCAAGGCCAGGGAUUGAACCCGCAACCUCAUGGUUCCUAGUCGGAUUCGUUAACCACUGCGCCACAACGGGAACUCCAAGGAGGGAAUUUUAAGUUUUCCAACUGACAGUGUUAUUUAUUUUUGCUUUUUAGGGCCACACCUGCAGCAUAUGAAAGUUCCCAGGCUAGGGGUGAAAUCCAAGCUGCAGCUGCCUGCCAGUCUGCACCAUAGCCACAGCAAUAUGGGAUGGAUCUCUGUGGCCUACACCACAGCUCACAGCAACGCCGGAUCCUUAACCCGCUGAGUGAGGCCAGGGAUCGAACCUGUAUCCUCAUGGAUGCUAGUCAGAUUGGUUUCCACUGAGCCACUAUGGGAACUCUGGAUUAUUUUUACUUCUGCUCUUAUUAUAUCUUGUUUUAUUGUACAGAGACAUUUGCUUUUCAGAAUUUGGGGUUUUCCUUAACGUCCCACGUGUAGUUUUGUUGUUUUUUUUUUUUUUUUUUUUUUUUUGAGGGGCACACUUGCCACAUAUGGAAGUUCCCAGGCUAGGGGUCAAAUUGGAGCUGUAGUCAGUGGCCUGCACCACAGCCACACCAGAUCCAAGCCUCAUCUGAGACCUACACCACAGCUCACAGCAAUGCCAGAUCCUUAACCCAUGAGUGAGGCCGGGGAUAGAACCUGCGUCUUCACGGAUGCUCGUCAGAUUCCUUUCCACUCUGCUGUGCUGUGACAGAACUCCCUGUUGCCACCUUUUGACCAUAUUUGCUGAUCUACCUUGGUCAGGUCAGCUCUUACUGUUUCUGUUUUGAAUGGGCCUUGGUCUACCAAGGUGUAGGGAUUUCUGUAUUUUCCAGCGUCUCCCUCUUGGGAUUUUUUUUCCUUUGAAAGUUGCUCUGCGGUAGAGGUUUUGCUCCUCCCUUAUGCUUCCAUGGCGGAUGGUUGUCCUCACCGAGGCAAAAUGACUCUCCUGUUCCUUUCUUUCUCUCUUGUGUCUGGCGUCUCUCAUGCAGUGUUCCACAUUGGUGAGUUUAUUCCUUCUCGCUGCUGCUGCUUUGUUUCAUUGAGGUGUAAUUGACAAGGUGAACAGGACAAUGAUUUGACUGAGAUACGUUAUGAGAUGAGGCCCACAGUAACAUUUAGUGAGCAUCCAUCCUCUCGCAGAGAUAGAAAAUUAAAGGCGUAGAAACACAUGGUUUUUCCUCGUGGUGAGGUUUACACCUUAAUGACCUUCGCAUGUAACAUACAGUAGUGUUAAUUAUAUUUACAUGUUGUACAUUGUAUCCCUGGUUCUUCAGGUUCUUGUAUCUGGAAGUUUGUACCUUUUGGCGGCCUUCAUCCAGUUCCCCUCCCCACCUCUGCCUCCGAUAACCACAGGUCUGAUCUUUUGUCUCUGAGUUUGUUUUGAAGUAUCGCUGACCUGCAGCUCUGUAUUGGUACCUGGUACCCCGUACAGUGAUUCAGUAUUUCUCUGCAUUUCAGAAUCAUCACCACGACAAGCCUAGUUACCAUCUGUCUGUUCCUUCUAGUUGUGAAAUAGUAUUCUGUUAUGUGAGUGUAAUAUUUAUUCGUUCUAGCUGUGAUAGAUUUUACUUAGCUCGGUUCCAUUUAGAGCUGUGGUGAAGAGUGCUGCCAUUGCUGUGCUCACGCGUCCUUCGGUGUGUCUUGGUAUGCGUUCUCUUGCGUUCCUACCUAGGAAUGGAAUUGCUAGGUCCCAGGGGACGCAUAGGUUCGGCUUUAGUAGGCAGCUGCCACUUUUCCAGAGAGUGUACCAAUUGGCACACCCACCAGUAGUGCACAAGUGUCGUCCUUCCUUCCCACACUCACCAGCCCUUGGUGUAAAGAUGUCUCCUCUCACCAGAUUGAUCUCUAGAUGCUGCGCGAUUCCAACCAGAAUCCCAGCAGACUUUUCUUUUGCUGUUGGUUAUUUGGAAAUUUGACAAACCGAUUAUGAAACUUAUGUGAAAAUGCGAAAAAGGACCAAGACUAAGCAACGCUGGAAGGGCUCAGCUGACUAGAUGUCAAGGCUUUAUAAAAGCCACAGUAAGGAAGGCAGCACAGUGUUGGUGAAAGGCUAGACAAAUGGACCGAUGGAACUGUGAUCUUGAAACAGGCUGCAUGGAAGCAGUCACUUAAUGUAUGACAAAGGUGCCACAUGACAGAUGGAAAAAAUGGCCUUUUCAAAAAAAGGUCCUGGGAAGGUUGGAUUCUCCAUGUAGAGGAGGUGGGGGGAGAAUCUUCUGCCUGUAAUCCUGUCUAGAAUCAGUUUUAGGUAGAUUAUAGAGCUAAACGUGAAAGAGAAAACAGAGCUUCUGGAGUAAACAGGAGAAUAUCUUUACCGUCUUGGAGAAGACAGUUCUUUAAAUAGGAUACAGAAAGUGCUACCAAAAUAGAGAAGAUUGGUACAUUGAACUGCCUUAAGCCUUCUCUCUUCUACUUUCUACAAAUGCUCCAAUGAAAUGCAGCAAACACUGUUUUGUAAUUGCCCAGAUCGUUAGAUAAUCCGUCAGUCCCCUGCUCUCCACGGAUGGACGGCUCCUCUGCUGCCUUCAGUGCAGCUGCCUGGGGCUUUCUUUGGCUGUCACUCAGGGUCUUGUUCCUCUAUGUUGGAUCCCCUGUUUCUUGGGUCCGUGGGUGGUGUGAACAUCAAAUAACAGCGACUCUCUUAAGCUGCCUUGGAGCAAUAAGGUCACUGGCUCAAGUUAAGUAGAAUUCCAGCAGUUCCCCUUUGGUUGGUCCAGAUACCUUUCUUGUCUGGGUGGGUCUCUGGCCAGGGGGAUGGAGUUCUCUUAGAUGGAGCUGGGUGUGGGUCAGCUUCCCAGGCGCAGGCUUCUUGGGAAGGGACAAGGUCACGUCCUCCAGGAAAGAAGAAGAGAGAGUUGACUUCCAGGAGGUCAGUCCACCGUGGCCACUGCAACAUUUGCCCGUGUCUUGGUUUGCUUUCUUACUCGUUAGAGCAUCUUUCCCUGUAACUUUCUGAGAAGGUAGAAUGUUUUGAGUCCUUUUGCGAGUCUAAAAAAGUUUUUUUCUAUCUUCACACUUGCCUCUGUCAGCAGAUUCUAGAUUUUAGACUGAAAAUUGUUUUCGGGGGAAGGGAAUGAUGCUGGUAAGCGUAGCGCAGUUGCUCCCAGACUCAUUGCCCCUCCCUCCUUUAUUCCUCCCUGGGGCCUUUUUUGGGGGCGAUGAUUGGCUUUCGGUAGCUUUGGGUCCUUGUCUUUAUCCCCAGUGUCCUGGGAUUUCACUUUGUACUUCCAUUGCUCUGAGGACUUGGAGGAGGGCUCUUGCAGUCUUGGGUCCUUUAGCUCUGGGAAUUUGUCUUGUAAUUUUUAUUUGAUGAUUUCCCUCCCUUUUCUCCCCUUUGUGUUUCUGGAACUCCUGGAUUAAUCUGAUUUUUCUGGGAGAAACCAGUGUUCAUCUCCUGGUUAAUUUGUCUGCGAUUUCCUUGACUUUAUCUUGCAUUGCUUCUAUUGAAAUUGAAAUUAAGAAAGUUCCCUUGUAGCACAGGGGGUUAAAGAUCUGGCAUUGCUGCAGCUGUGGUACAGGUGUGGCCAAAAAAAAAAAAGGGAAAAUUGAAGUUUAAUUUUUUUUUUUUUUUUUUUUUUUGGGCUUUUUAGGGCUUCACCUGUGGCAUAUGGAGGUUCCGAGGCUAGGAGUCACACUGGAGCUGCAGCUGCUGGCCUACACCACAGCCACAGCAAUGCCAGAUCCAAGCCACAUCUGCAACCUGUAUCACACAGCUCAUGGCAACGCCGGAGUCUUAACCUACUGAGUGAGGCCAGGGAUCGAAUCUGAAUCCUCAUGGAUCCUAGUCGCGUUUGUUACCUGCUGAGCCACAACAGGAACUCCCUAAAGUUAAAAAAAAUUUUCAGAAUGGUUUGGAUUUAUUGUAAAGUUAGAGGUUCUGUAUACCCUGCUUCCAGUUUCACCUGUUAGAAAGAUCUUACAUUAUUAUGGUCCAUUUGUCCCAACUAAUUAACCAGCAUUUAUACCCUGAAGUCUCUGUUUUAUUCAGAUUUUCUUAGUUAUUUAAUGUCCCUUUCUGUUCUACGGUACCAUGUUUUGUUGUCCUGUCUCCUUAUGUUCCUUUAUUAUUUUAUUUUAUUUUAUUUUGUCUUUUUGCCACUUCUUGGGCCGCUCCUACAGCAUAUGGAGGUUCCCAGGCUAGGGGUCUAAUCGGAGCUGUAGCCGCCAGCCUACACCAGAGCCACAGCAACGUGGGAUCCAAGCCAUGUCUGCAACCUACACCAUAGCUCACGGCAAUGCUGGAUCCUUAACCCCACUGAGCAAGGCCAGGGACCGAACCCGCAACCUCGUGGUUCCUAGUCGGAUUCCUUAACCACUGUGCCACGACGGGAACUCCCUUAAGUUCCUUUAGACUGUGACAGUUGCCAGAUUUUUCCUGUCUCUGAUGACCUUGACAGUCUUGGGGAGUACUGAUCAGGUAUUUUGUAGAAUGUCCCUCAGUUGGGAUUUGUCUGAUUUUUCUCCUGAUUAACCUGAGCUUUUGGGGUUUUGGCUGUCCUGUCUUGAGUUCUUCCUAGGGCUUUUUUCUGUUUUCUGGUGCCCUGUACACAAAAAAGCACAACAAUCUGUUUUUGUUUGCAGGUGUGCAACGUCUCAGUCUCCUGAGGACAUUCGUUUUAUGUUAUGUAUUUUAAAAAAAUUCUUUGAUUCCUGGCAUUGUCUGACUCCUCCAGCUUCUUUCAUUUGUCUGUCUGUAUUGCUUUCUGUCUUUCAGUUGAUGUCUCAGAUGUCCGUGGUCUUAGACGUGUACACAGCUGAUUGGAAACUGGGUGGGUGGGUCAGCAGGAGCUCUUGGGGGUGGGGCGGGUCGUUGAGAAGCUGACCUUUUAUAUCCCAAGUGGGCGUCUGUAGGUUUUCGAGAGAAUGCUCCUUUGCCAGAGGUUGCACAUGCCUCUGCUCCACUCCGUGGGGCCAGCAGCAGGGGGGACUUAGGCCCCACAGUUUGCUCCUCAGGUUUUCACUUAGCUUCUUUUUUUAGCUCCUUUCCUCCCCACCCUCCCCCCGCCCCUUUGACCCUGGUGACCCCUCUAGGGGAGCAGGAAGGCUGUGUGGGAGGCUGGCGGUGGCACUUUCUGCAAGGGCUCCUCACCCUCCCAGUCCCGCAGGGUGCCCACCCUUCCCCAUACUUCCUGAGCUGCUAAGUCUGUUACUACUCCGGUUGGGUCUUUGUCUGCCGCCAUUGUCCCUGUGUUUUGCAUUCUCUUUGUUGUCUAUUUCCUUUUAAAGGGUUUUGGGAAGGUGAGCUAUAAAUGCCAUGUUUAGCCAGAACGUCCCUGUUUUCUAAAGAGUUUUCAUGCAUCAGGUGGAAUGGAGGUAAGGGCACAUCUGGGUAGGCACACAUGUGUGUUUGAGUACCUGUGUGUGCCCAUUUGUCAGUUACACCUCUCGGCUCCUUUUCCCCCUGAUGGGUGGUGCUUGUCUUCGUAUCAGAACAUCGAGAGCUGCCAUUUGCUGUCGUGGCUACAGAGGGUUGCAAGGCCCUGGAGAAAGGGUGGGUUGGGCUGUUGGCCAUGUGUCACACCGUCUUGCACAAAGUGAGCUCUCUGUCCCUGCCCUCCUGAGAAGGGAGGAAAGGGGAGCUCUCCAUGACAGCCCGUCCGCACAGCAGCCUUCUAAAGUAGGCCUUCUGGGAGUUCCCGUCGAGGUGCAGCAGAACCGUGAGGUUUCGGGUCCAUUCCUGGCCUCGAUCAGUGGGUUAAGGAUCCGGCGUUGCCAUGAGCUGGGGUGUAGGCUGGCAGCUGCAGCUCCGAUUAGACCCCCAGUUUGAGAACUUCCAUAUGCCGCAGGUGCAGCCUUAAAAAGUAAAAAAAAUUAAAAAAAAAAAA